GCCCCCAGAGAUGUGACAGGGAUGUGCUGGAGGUUGAGGUGUGGCUUUACGUAUAAAUAGCGGCAGGUGACACCAGCAUUUGUAGAUCGUCUCCUCAAAGCGAGGAGGAUCAGUGUGGAUUCUUGCAUUUUGGGAUCUGAAGUUCUGAAAUGUAUAGACCCAGGCAAGACUGCCAUGGACAUGGCGGCGGCCAUGGGCAUGGUGGUGGCCACGGGCACGGAGGAGGACACGGACACGGAGUUGGAGGCGCACACGUUAUUAGAGGGGUAGCGAGACGUCGCCGCAGACGCCACAGACGUGGACACAGGCACAAGAAAUGCCACAAGAAGGGAAGGGAAUGCCACGGAUCGUCCAGCAGCUCCUGCAGCAGCAGCGACUCCGACUAAAUGAAAGAUGAAAGAAGAAGUGAAAAUCUUCUUCCACAUCACACAAAAAAAAGCCUGUUUGUGUGUUUGUUUUGGAGCCUGAUGUUUGCUUUGAUUCUGCAGUGUUUGUCUAAGACGUGUGAGCAGGCUUUUGUCGGAUCACAUGCCGCAAACCACACAGCGCACUAAAUAAACAAACUCUUCCACUGUUGCGGUGUCUCGUUUGUGUUUCUUUUGUACAUCCCGCCCUCACAUUCGAUUGGUCUGUGUCACUUUUAAUCCCGUCUCCAUCUCACUUUAUUACCGCGACAUCUGUGGGGUUCAAGUUUGUUACAUUUAAAUGGUUUUUAUUGAACAUUCACGCGCUUUGGUCGACUCAGCCUUCAGUCAAACACUUCUAUAUUAUUACUGUAAUACCUGCAAAAAUGCUCUGCAGCCGAUACACACAAUGCACAAUACAGAACAGAGCAAUAACGACAAUACACAAUGCAGGAUGCAGAGAUCACACAAACCCACUAUUCAAGUUUAUGGAUCUGGUUAAAUUCAAAACAGGAAUAAUGUAUUACCAAAAAAAUAUAUACAGGCAGUGUUUACAGAGAGGGAGGGAGGAUGUAACCUAAGGAGAGACCUACAUUACAAAAACAAACAGAACAAAGGAACGAAGAUGAAAAGCUGUGUGGUGACUUUGUGGAACAGUUUGGAGAUAAAACAAAGGAUGAAGUAAAUGUAGCAGGAAGUGUGUUAACUGUGAAGGUGAUGAGGCAUAUAAAUAAAAAUGACUGUUAUAUUGUAUUGACUCAGCAUUUAAUUUAUGCAGCGUAUAUGCGUAUAUAUUAUCUAUUUAUAUGAAUAUUUAUGCAGUACGUAUAUAUGUAUGGGUAGUAUAUUUAAAAGUGUUAUAUCUUUAUAUAAAAUAAAGUGUUUUUCCUUCUUCCUUUUUUGAACAGAUGUUUUGCCAGUGUUGCAGUAGCUUCCUGUUCCAGACGCAGACGUCUCCAUCAGGUCUCUCUUCUGGUG
Long non-coding RNA from Mugil cephalus (flathead mullet), 1382 nucleotides. RefSeq lists it as uncharacterized. NCBI's taxonomy places the organism in Eukaryota, Metazoa, Chordata, Actinopteri, Mugiliformes, Mugilidae. The transcript has 5 exons. The record is from RefSeq and is a predicted model, not a curated record.